Molecule: non-coding RNA, 4916 nt
Organism: Equus caballus (horse)
Lineage: Eukaryota; Metazoa; Chordata; Mammalia; Perissodactyla; Equidae
Source: RefSeq, a predicted model, not a curated record
UCUAUGGCGGUCCCAACGACCGUCCGGGUCGCGGAGCGGGAUGAGCGCGGGCGCCGACGGCGGCGGCGGCGGCGGCGCUGGGACCGAGGCGCGGUCCCGAGGGGCCAGUCCAGGAGCGGAUGACUUCGUACCGUCGGCGUUGGGGACCCGAGAGCAUUGGGAUGCUGUCUAUGAGAGAGAACUGCAAACUUUCCAAGAAUGUGGAGAUACAGGAGAAAUAUGGUUUGGAGAAGAGAGUAUGAACCGACUAAUAAGGUGGAUGCAAAAACACAAGAUUCCUUUGGAUGCUUCAGUACUUGAUAUUGGAACUGGAAAUGGUGUUUUCCUGGUUGAACUUGCAAAACUUGGUUUCUCUAAUAUUACUGGAAUUGAUUACUCUCCUUCUGCAAUACAGCUUUCUGGAAGUAUUAUAGAAAAAGAAGGUUUAUCUAACAUUAAGUUGAAGGUAGAAGACUUUUUGAAUCUUUCCACAAAACUGACUGGAUUUCAUAUUUGUAUUGACAAGGGGACUUUUGAUGCCAUAAGCCUUAAUCCUGACAAUGCACUUGAGAAGAGGAAACAAUAUGUGAAAUCUCUCUCCCGGGUGUUGAAAGUGAAAGGCUUUUUUCUAAUAACCUCAUGUAAUUGGACCAAGGAAGAGUUGCUAAAUGAAUUUAGUGAAGGAUUUCAACUUUUCGAAGAGCUGCCAACACCCAAGUUCAGCUUUGGAGGCAGAUCUGGAAACAGUGUAGCAGCAUUGGUUUUCCAAAAAACGUGAGACUGUUCAUUGGACAAAUUCAGUUAGCUUUUUUAAGAAGCUCUACAUCAAAGUAAACCUGACACAGAAAAUGCGAGUGCAAAUAAAUGCUUAUAAGCUUGGCUGCCAUAGACUGGGUGGCUUAAACAGCAGAAAUUUAUUUUUCACAGUCUGGAGACUGGGAAUUCCAAGAUCAAGGUGCUGGCAAGGUAGGUUUCAUUCUGAGGCCUCUUCUCUUGGCUUGUAGGCAGCUGUCAUCUCUCUGUAUGUUCACUUGACCUCUUUUUGCAUGCUUGUGGGGAGAGAGUGAGCGUGCGUGAGCAUGUUCUCUAGUGUCUCUUGUUAUAAAGGCACUAAUCCCAUCAUGAGGACCCCACCCUCAUGGCUUCAUCUAACCCUCGUUACCUCCCAAAGGCCCAUCUCCAAAUACCAUCACUAGGGGUUAGGGGUUCAACAUAUGAAUUUUGGGGAGACACAAAUGUUCAGUCCAUAAUAACCGCUGAAGUUGAUUUAAGGGUUCAGAGAAAGGCCUACAAAAUAGGUUUCUACUAUAUAUGGGAAGUUUAAAUACUUCAUUAGUUAAAUAUCAAUUGUUAGGUUACUUGAUGGUUCUUUUAAACCAAGGUAUCUAUUCAUGUAUGUGAAAAAAUAUAUGUACAUAUAAUAAAACAUUUGAAGCAAUCGCAUGAGUAUUUUUCAAUCUAAAAACAUCUUUAGAUUUGAGUAUUGUCUCUGAUAUAUAUUUGAUAAUUCUGUUUGUAUUCAUUUGACCGUAGAGAUGUUUUAUCCAAGAAACUCAGAAAGUUACAUCUAAUUGUUUAGUCCACUUUGAUUUUAUUUAUAGAAAUAUUGAGAUCAAGAUUGAGCAUAAGCAAAAUUGGGUAAUCUGAAGGAUCUCCCUAGUUUGAUUCUUCCCUACUCUAAACACAUAGAAACUACACACUCACAGAUGACCUAAUUUACCACUCUAAAGUCCCAGGGCUUUGAAACUUCUUUCUCAUGCUACACAGAGACCCAUGCUUGGGUAUGGUACCUGCGUCUGCCCUUCUUUAUGCCUUGUACCUCUCUGGGCUACUGUCAGUCUAUAACUGUUUACCCCCUCAGUGAAAUUGAAGUAUGUUAAAGGUGCUAGCAAAGUGCCUAAUGAGUAGUAGAUACUUAUUUAAAGUUGGUUUUUCUUCAGUACAUUUCUCUGAAGCAGUUUCAUAUGGUGGAGAGAGAAGCACUUGUGACUCUACAUAAUAGGGUUGUGAAUAUUAAAUAAGAAAAAUAACUAAUGCAGCUUAGCAUGAUUCCUAGCGUACAGCAAUGCCAAAUAAAUAUUCUUUUCUCCAAGGACCCUUCUUCCCAUUGGAGCUAAUGUAUUGAAUUGUUCAGGAUUUUAAUCCUCACUGCCACUGAGUUAAUGUAUUCAGUUCAUUGUAAGGUGCUUGUAUUCCAGGAGUGAUUAGAUGAGUGAAGAGAGGAGGAUGAGUGGUAGAUAAGUAAGAGGGAAAGUUCAGAACUUCUUAAAAAAUCAUACCGUGUAGCUCCUUUUUCCUUAGUCGCUAGAUAGGGCUGGUGCUGAAGCACCUUUUCAUUUAGUUAAGAAAUGAGGACCAUACACCAGAUGCCAGAUUUUCACAAAAUGUCCUUUCUGAUGCGUUUCAGCAGACUUUAAAAUACCCCUCAGAUUUAAGAUAGUUAUCUGUUAAAGUGGUAAUUAUUUAGUAAUGUAUGUCAGCGUGAUGGGGAAAAUAUUAAUGAGGGUGCCUUUGAAUUGAAAACAAAUGGUCACAGAUAUAGUGCACCUUCCUUCAUUAGAUCUGAAUGCUGAGGCAUUGUUUCCAGUGAUAUCAAAGAAGAGAACAGAGAGCAGGUGCCCCAAUGACCAUGCAUUGGGUUUUAAUGAAAGUUGUUGAGUUGGAUUUGGGUCUUUUACUGGGUAUUGAGGAAACAGUAGACUAAGAUUUUACCAUUGAUUUCCACCUUGCCUCAUCUAGAUUUGAUAUCUUUCAUCAGUGAGUCAUGUUUGUUUUCCUUGCUAUAAAGUUGAGUUAAAAGUGCCAUUCACAGUGGCAUUUUAAAGUUUGAUGUUGGGUAAUACUUUAAAUAGUUGAUCUGAUUUGUCCUUAGUUUAUACUAGAACUGACAGUAUAGUAUGUAAAGUACAGUGAAUUAGUUGUUUAUGCUAGUCUAAAAAAAAUGUCUUUUUCAGAUUUGUUGAUUUAACCUUUUUAUGGAUGGUUAAGUGAAUAUCUAUCCCAGUGCCUGGAGUGCUUAGUAUGACUAUAGAAAUGCUGGCCAGAGCAGUCGCACUUUCUCUAGUUAACCUAGUUUCUCUAGUUUAAGUCUUUAACCAUUUUCAAAAAGUUCUCCAGAGAUGAGGUUAAUAUAUGAUAUGAUGUACAUUCUUAGGACAGAACAUAAAGCUUCAUUACUUUAUUUAUUUAAAAGAUUUUUAUUUUUCCUUUUUCUCCCCAAAGCUCCCCAGUACAUAAUUGUGUAUUUUUAGUUGUGGGUCCUUCUAGUUGUGGCAUGUGGGAUGCUGCCUCAGCAUGGCUUGACAAGCGGUGCCAUAUCCGCAUCCAGGAUUCGAACUGGUGAAACCCUGGGCCGCUGAAGCAGAGCACGCGAACUUAACCACUCAGGUACGCGGCCCCUAAGCUUCACUACUUAAAUUAGGUAGUUUACCAGUACAAUGAUUGAAUAACCUGGUUUUGAUCAAGGUUUUUGUUUUUUUGGUUCCUUAUGAGAGUUAACAGGAGCUGUAAGUAGUAUUUAAAAUUGCAAGCCAAGUCCUCAUUCAUAUCACUUCUUUUCUAGAUUCAGGUCAGCUGCAGGAUAUGCACAUACAAAACAGGCAAGGCUAGUCCCUCUUACAAAUAGUGAUAGGUAUAAUAAAACGAAACAGCCUUGCUUUUGAUUAAUAUAGAAGAUUGACAGACUGCUGAGGAGAGUUAAGAAAUACACAGGCUAGUAUAGUGUGUAGGGCGAAUGUUCUUUUCAUCCUGCUCCCAGGAAUGUUCUGGCCAUUGGAGCCAGAGACUAAUUUUUUUUCUUGAUAUUUUAAAUGUAAAGGAUUCAGUCUUUAGAUUUUAAACUCUGUGAAAUCAGAAACUGUGUAGUUUCACAGUUUCCUCUCUCCCUAAUGCAAAUGAAAUUUACUCAGUUUCAUUUCUGUGGGGAUAGUCAGGAUAGCAGUAGCUUUGAGCAUAUCACUAGCGAUGAGUUAAAAAUAGAUUUUUCUUGAGGCAGUGACUUAUAUGGCAGAUAGUUGACAGAAGAGAAAAAUUAAGUUAAAUUUUGGGCUUGUGUCUCAGAUACUAAAUCUGAAUUCCACUAAAGAAUAUUUAAGAAAAAAAUUGAAAUUUUCAUUUCAAGAUGAGAAACGUUGAGUCUUGGUGUGCUGUUGAAAUAUUUUCUAGAUUAAAUUCAAUAUAACAAUAUGAAAUAUUGUAAUUUGGUUUUAGCUGUUUUUGGUGGAGUAACUAAGGCAAACUAGGUUAUGGAUGACUAUGUUAUAGUGAUACUAAUUAGAAUCUACUUCAGCUAAGAUCAUAAAUAGAUGAGGGAAAAGCCAGGAAUUAAUUAUGCUUUUGAAUCUUAGUAUUCAAAUAGUAAAAUAGGUUUGGUAAGUUUUACAUAUGCCAGUAACUUUGAAUGUAGAUAGUGAAAAGCCUUCAUUCUACUUAUUUUUGCUUAUUUGCCAUGCAUAAACUUUUCAUUGUCUAUUUUUUCAUGCUUGUGUUUUCUUAUAGCACAUAACACCAACAGCUACUAUUAACUUUGUGGGAAAAAAACCACCAAAAACAAAGUAAACUCAAAUUGAAAUAAGUUUUAACUGUUGCUCUGUUCUUUUUAGCUUACUUUACCCAGAGCUCUUCCAUCCAAUGAGUUGCAAGCGUGACAUUUGCUGUGUUUUCAGCACCUGCCAACUUGGAAACCAGGGUUUGUGCUCAGGACUUAGGCUUACAACCCGUACUUUGUGGUGCACAAUGCCGUCCCAGCUGGCAUGCUUCGUACCUCAAUGGUGCUAGACGUUUGGUUACAAAGCUGUGCAGAUUCACAUGCACUAAUUUCAAUAGGCAUUCCCCUUCAAGCUGCUUUCAACUCUCAUUUUGUAUCAAAGGAGUUAGAUUGGUAUCAUUAAAUUCACUGCUGUGGUUAUUUUUCAAUGAAAAUAAAUUUGUUUUAUUUA